RNAcentral lists this ribosomal RNA (1060 nucleotides) under Bacillus subtilis subsp. subtilis. RNAcentral describes it as "bacterial SSU rRNA". It matches the Rfam family "Bacterial small subunit ribosomal RNA", at positions 39 to 1075 of the family's 1533-position model. The record is from RNAcentral. Lineage: Bacteria; Bacillati; Bacillota; Bacilli; Caryophanales; Bacillaceae.
ACUUCGUGCCUAAUUACAUGCAAGUCGAGCGGACAGAUGGGAGCUUGCUCCCUGAUGUUAGCGGCGGACGGGUGAGUAACACGUGGGUAACCUGCCUGUAAGACUGGGAUAACUCCGGGAAACCGGGGCUAAUACCGGAUGGUUGUUUGAACCGCAUGGUUCAAACAUAAAAGGUGGCUUCGGCUACCACUUACAGAUGGACCCGCGGCGCAUUAGCUAGUUGGUGAGGUAACGGCUCACCAAGGCAACGAUGCGUAGCCGACCUGAGAGGGUGAUCGGCCACACUGGGACUGAGACACGGCCCAGACUCCUACGGGAGGCAGCAGUAGGGAAUCUUCCGCAAUGGACGAAAGUCUGACGGAGCAACGCCGCGUGAGUGAUGAAGGUUUUCGGAUCGUAAAGCUCUGUUGUUAGGGAAGAACAAGUACCGUUCGAAUAGGGCGGUACCUUGACGGUACCUAACCAGAAAGCCACGGCUAACUACGUGCCAGCAGCCGCGGUAAUACGUAGGUGGCAAGCGUUGUCCGGAAUUAUUGGGCGUAAAGGGCUCGCAGGCGGUUUCUUAAGUCUGAUGUGAAAGCCCCCGGCUCAACCGGGGAGGGUCAUUGGAAACUGGGGAACUUGAGUGCAGAAGAGGAGAGUGGAAUUCCACGUGUAGCGGUGAAAUGCGUAGAGAUGUGGAGGAACACCAGUGGCGAAGCGACUCUCUGGUCUGUAACUGACGCUGAGGAGCGAAAGCGUGGGGGAGCGAACAGGAUUAGAUACCCUGGUAGUCCACGCCGUAAACGAUGAGUGCUAAGUGUUAGGGGGUUUCCCGCCCCCUUAGUGCUGCAGCUAACGCAUUAUGCACUCCGCCCUGGGGGAGUACGGUCGCAAGACUGAAACUCAAAGGAAUUGACGGGGGCCCGCACAACCGGUGGAGCAUGUGGUUUAAUUCAAGCAACGCGAAAGAACCAUUACCAGGUCUUGACAUCCUCUGACAUCCUAGAGAUAUGACGUCCCCUUCGGGGGCAGAGUGGACAGUGGUGCAAGGGUGGUCGUCCAUCUUCGUGUUCAUGGA